RNAcentral lists this long non-coding RNA (207 nucleotides) under Elaeis guineensis (African oil palm). Its description in RNAcentral is "long non-coding RNA (EGUI_LNC054053)". Lineage: Eukaryota; Viridiplantae; Streptophyta; Magnoliopsida; Arecales; Arecaceae. The record is from RNAcentral.
GGCUCCUUAGCAAGGGCUAUAGUGCCAUUGUCUUUACAGUAUAGUGUCAUAGCAUCUGAUGGCAUAACAUCUAGUUCUGCAACUAACAUUAGAACCAGACUGCAUCCUACACAUCUACAGUGUACUCAGUUUCCAUCGAUCGAUUGCUUGGAACACUUCCAAGAUAUUGAAUCACGAUUACACAGGAACACAUCCCAUGAUGUAGAC